This 225-nucleotide ribosomal RNA is filed under the name Protopolybia amarella. Its description in RNAcentral is "partial small subunit ribosomal RNA". The record is from RNAcentral. Lineage: Eukaryota; Metazoa; Arthropoda; Insecta; Hymenoptera; Vespidae.
UUAAAGCAUUAAAUUUAAAAGAUUUGGCGGUAUUUUAAAUAAUUAGAGGAACCUGUAUGAUAAUUGAUAAUCCACAAUAAGAUAAACUUAAUAAUUUAUGUAUUGCUGUUUAAAGAUUAUUAUUAAUUAAAUUUUUAAAUUUUUAAUAUAAUUUAAUUCAAGUCAAAAUAUAGUUUUAUUAAGAUAUGGGUUACAUUUUUAUUUUGAAAUUGGAUUUAAUAGUAA